Molecule: transfer RNA, 75 nt
Filed under: Planctomycetales bacterium 71-10
Lineage: Bacteria; Pseudomonadati; Planctomycetota; Planctomycetia; Planctomycetales
Description: tRNA-OTHER
Rfam family: tRNA
About the family: Transfer RNA (tRNA) molecules are approximately 80 nucleotides in length.
Source: RNAcentral
CGGGACGUGGGAAAGCCUGGGAAUCCGCCUGCCAUUGGGCGCAGGAGAGCGUCGGUUCGAAUCCGACCGUCCCGA